RNAcentral lists this ribosomal RNA (253 nucleotides) under uncultured bacterium. RNAcentral's name for it is "partial 16S ribosomal RNA". It matches the Rfam family "Bacterial small subunit ribosomal RNA", at positions 524 to 776 of the family's 1533-position model. The record is from RNAcentral.
UACGGAGGGUGCAAGCGUUAUCCGGAUUCACUGGGUUUAAAGGGUGCGUAGGUGGUCGGGUAAGUCUGAUGUGAAAUCUCUGAGCUCAACUCAGAAACUGCAUUGGAUACUAUUCGGCUAGAGGAGUGGAGGGGGGACUGGAAUACUUGGUGUAGCAGUGAAAUGCGUAGAUAUCAAGUGGAACACCAGUGGCGAAGGCGAGUCCCUAGACACUUCCUGACACUGAGGCACGAAAGCUAGGGGAGCAAACAGG